GUGCUUGCUUUAGCUGACAUAUACUAAAAUUGGAACAAUACAGAGAAUAUCAGCAUGGCUCCUGCACAAGGAUGACAUGCAAAUUUGUGAAGCACUGCUUAUUUUU
This is a small nuclear RNA of Tursiops truncatus (common bottlenose dolphin), 106 nucleotides long. The record is from Ensembl. NCBI's taxonomy places the organism in Eukaryota, Metazoa, Chordata, Mammalia, Artiodactyla, Delphinidae.